Molecule: ribosomal RNA, 253 nt
Filed under: uncultured bacterium
Lineage: Bacteria
Description: partial 16S ribosomal RNA
Rfam family: Bacterial small subunit ribosomal RNA
Source: RNAcentral
UACGGGGGGGGCAAGCGUUGUUCGGAAUUACUGGGCGUAAAGGGCUCGUAGGCGGCCAACUAAGUCAGACGUGAAAUCCCUCGGCUUAACCGGGGAACUGCAUCCGAUACUGGAUGGCUUGAGAUUGGGAGAGGGAUGCGGAAUUCCAGGUGUAGUGGUGAAAUGCGUAGAUAUCGUAAGGAAGACCAGUGGCGAAGGCGAGUUUCUGGACAGUUACUGACGCUGAGGCACGAAGGCCAGGGGAGCAAACGGG